UCCCUGGUGGCUCAGAUGGUAAAGAAUCUGCCUGCAAUGCAGGAGACCCAGGUUCGAUCCCUGGGUUGGGAA
Bos taurus (domestic cattle) is the source of this 72-nucleotide non-coding RNA. NCBI's taxonomy places the organism in Eukaryota, Metazoa, Chordata, Mammalia, Artiodactyla, Bovidae. The record is from Rfam.